RNAcentral lists this long non-coding RNA (1966 nucleotides) under Mus musculus (house mouse). Its description in RNAcentral is "long non-coding RNA chr5:92850183-92852149". Lineage: Eukaryota; Metazoa; Chordata; Mammalia; Rodentia; Muridae. The record is from RNAcentral.
GUUAGGGAUGGAGUCUCUAUAUUUAGCAAAAAUAUUAAUGUUUCUCUCAUAUCUAAACGUCACAUGCUGAGCUUAACUUUAAAAUUUAUUUAUUUUGUGUGUGUGAUGCAUGUUUGUGUGCAUAGAUGUUAGAGUGGAUGUAUUGAGUACAUUCUCCAGUCAGGUUUUCUUUUGGACUUGUGCACAAGAACCUCUCAUAAGCCAUUUCUCUCAUUGACCCUCACACACCAAGUUUAAAUGACAGUGUUGGGAUUAGAACCUAGACAGCCUGAGAACUCCAGGCUCUGGUAUCAGCCAGUUUAUUUCUUUAAUGGAAAGGGGGAUCCAGAAAGGAAAAGCAGGCAACACCUGAUUAAGCCAACAUUGGCUCAGAAUUGCAUAAAAUUAUAAGCGUUCAGUUGCAGUUGAAAAUUCGAUUCUGUAAACUCAGUAUUGGGUUUAAAGACAACACAAAACAAAAAAACCUUGUAUGCCAACAGAACCUGCAUUGGCUGAAUGCUAGCUCUAUAGGUUUUUUGGCCUUCUAUUAUCUACUUCCCAUCUGCUAAUGAACUGCCGCACAAAAAUGGAAAUGAAGAUUUCAUGCCUAUAUAUUUUAUAUGCACUUGCUCUCUGGAAAGUUCUUAGGUAUGUGCCUAAGGUCAGCCAUGAAAACCAGCGAUUCAUUGGAUGACUAAAUCUGCCUCUCACUCCGGGCGGGGCCUAAGUGCGAAUGAAGAGCGAAGAGCAUUUCCUGGAGACAGAAGCCAGUCACUGGGAACCUGAGAGUUAGAAAGGCUCCCUCUUGGGGACUUGGGAAGUGCUCUAGAUUGGCUUUGUUUUUGUUGUCCUAAUCUGAAAAUGACAACAUAGAUCCUAGCCAGGGACAUGCAGCAUUUUACUGUAGGUGAUGCAGCUUUAAUUGGUACAUAGAGGCAUGCCUGUGGACUUAGUCCUCGGUGUGCGGGCCAAUCAGAUCACUUUUAGCAUUUCUCAAUGGUUAGUUUCAUCUUAUAAUUAAGUAACAGCGAUCAUUUCCUGGCAGCUAAUGACUGGCUAGAGGAGUUAGAAGCCUCAUUAAGUUUACAAUUUAUCAAAUUCUACAUUCUCCAUCUGCAGUGUUGCAAAAAGAGAAAGCACCCUGGAAUUUCUAAUAGGGGCAAUCUCCAAACAGACUUCAUGUGUGUGAGUGGUAACUUCUUCAAAGAGUGACUUUAUUUUCUAAUUAAGAAAAAAACAAUUAUGUAUUACAUAGAACGGGGAAAAUCUAAAUGAAGUUGAGUCAGGGGAUUAUGGAAGCACGAGACGGGUGCAUGCUUUUAAGUAAAGGCUGGGUUGGAGGACGGUGAGCCGUUUCUCGUCGAUGAUGAUUCUGUAUCUUUCACACGAUGGCCGUGGGCAUCCACUAAGUCUAGCAUCUGUGUGUUUAGCCUGCAAGAAUUUCUUGAGUGUCCACUAUGUAUUCGAAUAGUUAUUCUAAUGCUGAAAACACACAAGUACAAAUCCCAGCCACUCUUAUUGAGCUGGUAUUCUCAUCUUAAGACUCCUGGUUUUAAAAUACCCCGGAAGGCUGUGGUUUGGUCAAGCUAGACAGAGUCAGAAGAGGACCCACCCUGCACCAUCUUGGUUGUCCUGCCUCUGUCUCUUCACUGGGGUGGCCGUUCUGUAAUCGCACAAGAAUCACUGUGGAUCUGCUGUAGUUGGGGAACUGAGACUUACCUUCUCCUUAGAGAGAGGAGGUGGAAGAGGAGGUGGAACCUCUCCUAGGGAUCUCAUUGCUUUUGUUCUCAUUAAAAGAACUGGGUGGAAGCUGUUCUCAGAGAAAAGAGUGAUAUCUGAUCUCUUGUUGAAAUUAUUGACUUCUAGAGCAUGGGCCCAGACACAGACCUAUCACUCACUCUAGAAUUUUGGAAAUGUGGAACUUAGGAAGGACCCUGACUCUCCUAUGCUCCUUCUGUCCCAUCUGAAGGUGUUCUAGAAGAACUCC